This 291-nucleotide long non-coding RNA is filed under the name Nicotiana benthamiana. RNAcentral describes it as "long non-coding RNA (NBEN_LNC023045)". The record is from RNAcentral. Lineage: Eukaryota; Viridiplantae; Streptophyta; Magnoliopsida; Solanales; Solanaceae.
CCAUGGCUCCAUUCUAUAGAGAUCAAUAUCAGUGAUGACAUCAAGAUCAAUCUUGAGGGAGCUAAUUUUUCUCUUGAGGUAGUAUCCAACUAGUUCUUCCUCUGUUGGAUGAAAUCUAAAACCUGGAGGAACACAUGACUCCAUUUCCAUUUUUUGAUCUGAGAAUUUACAUAUAUAAUUGAGAAAAGUCCCUGGAGGAACACAAGAUUCCAUUUCCAUUCUUUGAUCUGAAAAUUUACACAUAUAAUUAAGAAAGUUUCAGUAGAGAAAAUGCUGGACAAGAAAGAAAAG